RNAcentral lists this ribosomal RNA (581 nucleotides) under uncultured bacterium. Its description in RNAcentral is "bacterial SSU rRNA". It matches the Rfam family "Bacterial small subunit ribosomal RNA", at positions 28 to 638 of the family's 1533-position model. The record is from RNAcentral.
AACGAACGCUGGCGGCAUGCCUAACACAUGCAAGUCGAACGCCUGUAGCAAUACAGGAGUGGCGCACGGGUGAGUAACGCGUGGGAACCUGCCCUGGAGUGAGGGAUAACCGAGGGAAACCUCGGCUAAUACCGCAUACGCCCCUUGGUCGUGGAGAUCUCGGGGGAAAGAUUUAUCGCUCUAGGAGGGGCCCGCGUCGGAUUAGCUAGUUGGUGAGGUAACGGCUCACCAAGGCGAUGAUCCGUAGCUGGUCUGAGAGGAUGAUCAGCCACACUGGGACUGAGACACGGCCCAGACUCCUACGGGAGGCAGCAGUGGGGAAUAUUGGACAAUGGGGGCAACCCUGAUCCAGCAAUGCCGCGUGAGUGAUGAAGGCCUUAGGGUUGUAAAGCUCUUUCGGCGGGGACGAUGAUGACGGUACCCGCAGAAGAAGCCCCGGCUAACUUCGUGCCAGCAGCCGCGGUAAUACGAAGGGGGCGAGCGUUGUUCGGAAUUACUGGGCGUAAAGGGCGCGCAGGCGGCACUUGAAGUCAGGCGUGAAAGCCCCGGGCUCAACCUGGGAGGUGCGCUUGAUACUCGAG